GCCGGUCGUCGGGCAGGCGCCGCAGUCGGACGCCAACGCGACGUCACUGGUGUUCAGGCUGGUCCACGGCAGGAGUUCGAUUCUCUUCACCGGCG
RNAcentral lists this transfer RNA (95 nucleotides) under Geomonas paludis. RNAcentral's name for it is "tRNA-Arg". The record is from RNAcentral. Lineage: Bacteria; Pseudomonadati; Thermodesulfobacteriota; Desulfuromonadia; Geobacterales; Geobacteraceae.